AGACUUUGAUCCUGGCUCAGAACGAACGCUGGCGGCAUGCCUAACACAUGCAAGUCGAACGGGAUCCGUUCUUCGGAACGGUGAGAGUGGCGGACGGGUGAGUAACGCGUGGGAAUCUGCCCAGUGGUGGGGGAUAACUGCGGGAAACUGCAGCUAAUACCGCAUGAGCCCGAGAGGGGAAAGAUUUAUCGCCAUUGGGGGAGCCCGCGUUCGAUUAGGUAGUUGGUGAGGUAACGGCUCACCAAGCCGACGAUCGAUAGCUGGUCUGAGAGGAUGAUCAGCCACACUGGGACUGAGAUACGGCCCAGACUCCUACGGGAGGCAGCAGUGGGGAAUAUUGUACAAUGGGGGCAACCCUGAUCCAGCAAUGCCGCGUCCGUUUUAAUCCUUCGGGUUGUAAAGCUCUUUUGCCAGGACGAUGAGACGGCACCUGAGAAAGCCCGUCGUCGUAACCCCAUU
RNAcentral lists this ribosomal RNA (459 nucleotides) under uncultured soil bacterium. Its description in RNAcentral is "bacterial SSU rRNA". It matches the Rfam family "Bacterial small subunit ribosomal RNA", at positions 8 to 507 of the family's 1533-position model. The record is from RNAcentral.